RNAcentral lists this unclassified non-coding RNA (1653 nucleotides) under Hevea brasiliensis (rubber tree). Lineage: Eukaryota; Viridiplantae; Streptophyta; Magnoliopsida; Malpighiales; Euphorbiaceae. The record is from RNAcentral.
AAUUAUUAAUGCUAGCAUCUGAUCAUAGGGAUUUAAGUAAAACAACUAAACAUCAAAUGAUGACUUCAAUAUUCAUUGCAUUGGGACGAUCGCAUGCUACACAUAUUUUCUCAGCUCAACAUUCAUCAAACUCCGAGAUACGGAACCAGCAAUGAUCUCGAAGCUAUUAAGAAAAACAGCAAAAGCAAAGAUAGGGAACUCCAAGCAACUCAGCCUUUGAUACCCAUCUGCCAAGACAUUGAGAAUUUAUUUCCCAAAAGUAAAUUCAACCCACCGAUCUCAACCAUUAAACUACUCUUCUUUGUACCACCUUCCAGCUUUUCCAAAUCCACUGACGAAGGCUCACUGAAGCUAACACUUGUUAAAUCUGAGACAGGCUCCCCAUCAACCUCCAUCUUAAGCCCCGAGCCCUUACCACCCAACCCCAACACAACCACCUUCUCAAUCAACAAUCUCUUCUGCAAACUAAAUUCCCCUGCCUCAACUGCAGACCACACCUUCACCGCAUUCCCACUAACAGCAGCAUAGAACUCAACGUACGACGAUUCUCCAUCCACGAGCUUCAUCUCAGGCCGUUCAUCAUCGUCGACAAACAACUUCCCUUUAGCUUCUGCUUGUGUGGCACCGAAUGGGAAGGUGACCACAAGAGUAAAUGGUGUGGUUCGCGCCUCCUUUGAGAUCAAUCCUCCUUGCUGCAUCGGAAGUAUGGUAUUCUGGUAUACAUGCACAUUGACCACAUUCAGUGGAGCAUCAAGCGACACAUAGCGAUCAUCUUUGGAUACCACCGCCUUGCUCAUGUCGAACAAAUUAUACCAUGUCCCCGGAGGAAACAAGGCUUUCACUGAUGUCGAUGCUUUCUUGAGGACUGGGGAGACCAUGACACUGCUCCCUAGAAGAAACUGAGUACUAAGUUCAUAUGACCUUGUAAAAUUAGGAAAGGAAAAGAAGACCGGCCUUGCAAUUGGUGCGCCGCUGAUGUGAGCUUCAUAGCUCAAGGUGUAGAGGUACGGGAGCAACUUGUACCGUAGCCCCAAUGCAUUCCGGGCAGACUUGGCGACGGAAUCCCACACAUAGAGCUCUUGUCGGGGUGAAGCAAAGUUUGCAUGGUCCCUUGAGAAGGGAUAGAAAGCCCCGAGCUCAAUCCACCGACUGCAGAGUUCUUCUGUAGGCUGCGGGUAGAAACCGCAAAUGUCUGAGCCAACCAUGGGCAUGCCAAAGAUCCCGAAAUUCAGCAUUGUUGAUAUCGAAUAACGCAGGUCGUUCCAUGUUCCCUUGUUAUCGCCCGUCCAGUGGGCGGCGUAUGAUCCUGAUCCAACAAAAGUAGAGCGGGAAAGUAUGAAGGGACGCUUCCCCUCAAGCCCCAGAAGAGCCUUGUGAGUAGCAAUGGAUUGAGAAAAACCAUAGAGGCUAUGUGCAUUGUACUCCAACACGCCAUUGUAAUGCACUGCACUGGUGGCUAUAGUCUUGGACCCUAAGGGAAGUUGUGCCCCAGAUGCAUUUAUCUUGUAAGGUGGUUCAUCCCAUCUUGUACUAGUUAUGUUUUUGCAAUCUAAGCAGCAAACCCAUGGCUCUUUCGAAUUAGGCACUGGGCAUAAGUGGCUCUUUGGAAGCUCGCAUUUUCCUGUACAGAAGUUUGAAACUUCAUUCAUGUCA